GAUGAACGCUAGCGAUAGGCUUAACACAUGCAAGUCGAGGGGCAGCAUGGUCUUAGCUUGCUAAGACUGAUGGCGACCGGCGCAUGGGUGCGUAACGCGUAUGCAACUUGCCUCACAGAGGGGGAUAACCCGUCGAAAGACGGACUAAUACCGCGUACACUUGGGAUAGGGCAUCCUGACCGAAGGAAAUGAAAUUCGCUGUGAGAUAGGCAUGCGUCCCAUUAGCUAGUUGGUGAGGUAACGGCUCACCAAGGCGACGAUGGGUAGGGGAACUGAGAGGUUGAACCCCCACACUGGUACUGAGACACGGACCAGACUCCUACGGGAGGCAGCAGUGAGGAAUAUUGGUCAAUGGGCGAGAGCCUGAACCAGCCAAGUCGCGUGAAGGAUGACUGUCUUAUGGAUUGUAAACUUCUUUUAUACGGGAAUAACAAGAGCCACGUGUGGCUCCCUGCAUGUACCGUAUGAAUAAGCAUCGGCUAACUCCGUG
Molecule: ribosomal RNA, 490 nt
Filed under: uncultured bacterium
Lineage: Bacteria
Description: partial 16S ribosomal RNA
Rfam family: Bacterial small subunit ribosomal RNA
Source: RNAcentral